UUAGGGUUUCGCCCGGUGUGCUCUUGUUGUCAAGAUGGAAUUUUUGUAUCGUGCUUGAUAUGUUCUCCCACACAUGCGUAUUGAUGAUUGAUAGGACUGUGAUGCCACUGUGCUGGUACAAGUCUCUUGAUGUGAUGUACGGGAAUAACUCACCGAGGAUGUGAAUGUGUAAUCUACGUAGUAGGUAAAACUUACUUCUUGAUUCCUCGUACAUAGGUACGGGUCCGCAUAAUGUUGUGGCCAUUGUGCCAGGAAUUGAGCCGAAUAUUUCAUAUCAUUUGUGGCCUUUGUGUCGGGCCUUGUAUCGAUUACUUCUGUUUGGAUGAUGGCCUUGUGCAU
This is a non-coding RNA of Vicia faba (fava bean), 339 nucleotides long. The record is from the annotation of a GenBank genome assembly. NCBI's taxonomy places the organism in Eukaryota, Viridiplantae, Streptophyta, Magnoliopsida, Fabales, Fabaceae.